Molecule: long non-coding RNA, 895 nt
Organism: Myxocyprinus asiaticus (Chinese sucker)
Lineage: Eukaryota; Metazoa; Chordata; Actinopteri; Cypriniformes; Catostomidae
Exons: 3
Source: RefSeq, a predicted model, not a curated record
GUUGUAAGUAUAUGUUGUAUGUGCAAGCUUUUAUAAUUCAUUUGUUUGUCUGUCUAGCCAAACAACAGAGAGAGAGGACUGCUGUGUAAGACUGAAUCACUUGCUGUCCAGCAAAUGGAAGAUGAUGACUCGUGGAAUUGCAGAUGGAGUUACUCAGAAAUCUACAGGAUAUGACAACAAGGUCACACCUGAGAAUUUAUCACUUGGUGAAAUGGAUCACAAAAGCUUCAAGACUCAGAGCUCCAGAGAAUUUGAGCUUUAAGGAGCAUCAGCAGCUGUUUUCCUUGGCAAAGAUCACUUCAAACAAAGUCAAAGCAUCUUGAUUCAUGACUCCAAAACAGGCAAAACCACUAAGAUUGUGACAAAGAUUAAGACUGUAAACACGUUAAGAGAGAAACAUAUAGUUUAUUGUUUGUGUCCAAACCCUCCCAACCUGCAUGAAAAUUGCAACGUUUUAUAGACACGGGAUGAAUUCAAGACAAUUGGGCCUUAAAGAUAUAUCCUCCUGAGACCCGAGCGUAACUGCUGUGUGCAUUUUCCAUUUACCUUUUUGAUUUGUAACUAGUAGCACUAAAAUUUAAUACACAUGCAAAAACAAAAAUAAAAAAUAAUGAGCAAAUAGUUUUCCUAAAAAUGGAUGGCAACAUACAGUAUGUGGACCGUGAGACUAGGUUGUGAAUUUUUAAAUAAUUCCAAGUUAUAGAAAUUCCUACAUAUUUUUUAUUUUUUUUAAUCAAAUUGUUUAUUAUGUUUCAAGGAGUGUUGCUUAUUCAUGUUGAGACAUUACAGACAUUACAUCAGAAAUUAGCAUAAUUAAUUCUGAUCCAAAGUAUUGGCCAGCAUCAUCCAAUCACUGCCAACCAUGUUAAAAAAAAAAAAAAAUUGCUUGAACAAU